This 236-nucleotide long non-coding RNA is filed under the name Elaeis guineensis (African oil palm). RNAcentral's name for it is "long non-coding RNA (EGUI_LNC055497)". Lineage: Eukaryota; Viridiplantae; Streptophyta; Magnoliopsida; Arecales; Arecaceae. The record is from RNAcentral.
GGUCACCAUUGCUAGAUGGUUACAUCGAUUGGUAUAAAAAGUUAUUCCUAUGCUACCGGCUUAAGUUUGAACCUAUGAGAUUACAUGUAUUAGAAGAUUUGGUCAGAUCUGAUGGCUGAAGUCCAAUUAGAUUGACUUUAGUGAGGAGUCCGACUGGGACUGGGACUCUAGAGGAGAGCCCCAUUGAGACUGAAACUCUACCAUCAAUGAAGAAUUAAUUAGUAAUUAACUUAAUU